AAGUCGUAACAAGGUUUCCGUAGGUGAACCUGCGGAAGGAUCAUUAACACGCGUAAUCUCUAACGAUUACAAACCAAACCCGUGCACUGUAAUUUUCUUACAGACCGCGAGUAGCAGGCCGCUUGGAUUUGCUAAGGAGUGUGUCGAUUGCUGUGACUCCUUAUAGAUACAAGUGCUAUGGACUGUUAGCCGCGGUAUACAAGCUUCAAAAAAACUCACUCAGUGGUCUACACUUAACCCCUUUUUGAACUCUUUUAUUAACUGAUCUCCAUUAGUCUUUAGUCGAAAGGCUCUAGACUACACUGGAUCGUAAUUCUACGAAACAGUAAAGUACAACUCUAAGCAGUGGAUAUCUUGGUUCCCAU
This 365-nucleotide unclassified non-coding RNA is filed under the name fungal sp. RNAcentral describes it as "partial internal transcribed spacer region". The stretch from base 1 to 46 matches the Rfam family "Eukaryotic small subunit ribosomal RNA", at positions 1786 to 1831 of the family's 1831-position model. Lineage: Eukaryota; Fungi. The record is from RNAcentral.